Molecule: ribosomal RNA, 253 nt
Filed under: uncultured bacterium
Lineage: Bacteria
Description: partial 16S ribosomal RNA
Rfam family: Bacterial small subunit ribosomal RNA
Source: RNAcentral
UACGUAGGGCGCGAGCGUUGUCCGGAUUUAUUGGGCGUAAAGAGCUCGUAGGCGGCUUGUCGCGUCGUCCGUGAAAACUUGGGGCUCAACCCCAAGCUUGCGGUCGAUACGGGCAGGCUCGAGUUCGGUAGGGGAGACUGGAAUUCCUGGUGUAGCGGUGAAAUGCGCAGAUAUCAGGAGGAACACCGGUGGCGAAGGCGGGUCUCUGGGCCGAUACUGACGCUGAGGAGCGAAAGCGUGGGGAGCGAACAGG